This is a long non-coding RNA of Dalotia coriaria, 433 nucleotides long. RefSeq lists it as uncharacterized. NCBI's taxonomy places the organism in Eukaryota, Metazoa, Arthropoda, Insecta, Coleoptera, Staphylinidae. The transcript is spliced from 4 exons. The record is from RefSeq and is a predicted model, not a curated record.
UCGACGCGCCGACUUCGCGCACCUCUUGAUUUCUUAUCAUAAACUGUCGCGUCAUUGCUUGCGCAGUUGGCGGCUAGUUCGUGCCGGUCUCUGAUUGUUGCGGACGUGUUUCUCGCGACUCGUAUCGUUUGUCCGAACUUCUAUUUCCAAAUUCGCAUUAUAUUCGUUCAUCAAUGAUCUAUUUAGUUUUAACUUGCGACUAUAGUAAUGAUAUUUAUUAUUUGUGCGUAAGUGUCGAGUUGCUAGGUGAAUACAUUUAUUUAUCAUUAGGAUGACCCAUCGUGCUGGUUAUUUGCGGUGUCUAGGAGUCCGAUGUGUCCUGCAUUGGGAUUUUGCACUUGAGUCUGACAUUGUAGAAGGACUAUUCUGGCAUCAGAUUUGAUUUUGCACCUGAGUCUGACAUCGUAGAAGGACCAUUUCGAUAUCAGGUUGU